This 429-nucleotide ribosomal RNA is filed under the name uncultured archaeon. RNAcentral's name for it is "bacterial SSU rRNA". It matches the Rfam family "Archaeal small subunit ribosomal RNA", at positions 474 to 903 of the family's 1478-position model. The record is from RNAcentral.
AACCAGCUCUUCAAGUGGUCGGGAAUUUUAUUGGGCUUAAAGUGUCCGUAGCCGGUUUGAACAGUUCCUGGUUAAAUCUGGUAGCUUAACUAUCAGUCAGCUAGGAAUACUAUCUUACUAGAGGGUGGGAAAGGCUUGGGGUACUCCGGGGGUAGCGGUGAAAUGCGAUAAUCCUCGGGGGACCACCAGUGGCGAAGGCGCCAAGCUGGAACACGCCUGACGGUGAGGGACGAAAGCCAGGGGAGCGGACGGGAUUAGAUACCCCGGUAGUCCUGGCCGUAAACGAUGCAUGCUAGGUGCUGGAAGGGCUCUGAGCCGUUUCAGUGCCGUAGGGAAACUGUUAAGCGCGCCGCCUGGGAAGUACGCUCGCAAGAGUGAAACUUAAAGGAAUUGGGCGGGGAGCACCACAAGGGGUGAAGCCUGCGGUUC